Molecule: non-coding RNA, 97 nt
Filed under: bovine gut metagenome
Description: Glycine riboswitch
Rfam family: Glycine riboswitch aptamer
About the family: This family represents the bacterial glycine riboswitch. Glycine riboswitches usually consist of two metabolite-binding aptamers domains with similar structures in tandem. The aptamers cooperatively bind glycine to regulate the expression of downstream genes.
Source: RNAcentral
CGGCACUCUGGAGACACCCGCCGGGCGGGGGCCGAAGGUGAAAGCGUCGCGGGGCUUGCCGCGCGGGGCGAAUCUCUCAGGCAAAAGGACAGAGCAG